Molecule: ribosomal RNA, 465 nt
Filed under: Vreelandella stevensii
Lineage: Bacteria; Pseudomonadati; Pseudomonadota; Gammaproteobacteria; Oceanospirillales; Halomonadaceae
Description: partial 16S ribosomal RNA
Rfam family: Bacterial small subunit ribosomal RNA
Source: RNAcentral
CCUACGGGAGUCAUCCGUGGGGAAUAUUGGACAAUGGGGGGAACCCUGAUCCAGCCAUGCCGCGUGUGUGAAGAAGGCCCUCGGGUUGUAAAGCACUUUCAGUGAGGAAGAACGCCUGGUGGUUAAUACCCAUCAGGAAAGACAUCACUCACAGAAGAAGCACCGGCUAACUCCGUGCCAGCAGCCGCGGUAAUACGGAGGGUGCGAGCGUUAAUCGGAAUUACUGGGCGUAAAGCGCGCGUAGGUGGCUUGAUAAGCCGGUUGUGAAAGCCCCGGGCUCAACCUGGGAACGGCAUCCGGAACUGUCAAGCUAGAGUGCAGGAGAGGAAGGUAGAAUUCCCGGUGUAGCGGUGAAAUGCGUAGAGAUCGGGAGGAAUACCAGUGGCGAAGGAGGCCUUCUGGACUGACACUGACACUGAGGUGCGAAAGCGUGGGUAGCAAACAGGAUUAGAUACCCCGGUAGUA